GUACACGCUGUGACUAGCAUAUCAAUAAGCGGAGGAAAAGAAACUAACAAGGAUUCCCCUAGUAACGGCGAGUGAAGCGGGAAGAGCUCAAAUUUGAAAUCUUAAAGGGUUUCCCUUUACGAAUUGUAGUUUAAAGAAGUGUUUUCUGUUGAGGUUUUGGUAAAAGUUCUUUGGAAUAGGACAUCAUAGAGGGUGAGAAUCCCGUAUUUGACCUUUACUUUCAACUUUGUGAUACACUUUCAAAGAGUCGGAUUGUUUGGGAAUGCAGUCCAAAAUGGGUGGUAAAUUUCAUCUAAAGCUAAGUAUUGGCGAGAGACCGAUAGCGAACAAGUACCGUGAGGGAAAGAUGAAAAGAACUUUGAAAAGAGAGUUAAACAGUACGUGAAAUUGUCAAAAGGGAAGCGUUUGACACCAGUGUUGUUUUUCUGAAAGUCAAUUAAAGAACUGUUUAUGCUAAGUUGUUUAGACUUUAUCAGCUAACUGGUUAGUUUUGAGCUUUUCUUUAAUGCACUUUUCAGUUAACAAGUCAACAUCAAUUUCUUUUGCUGUAAAAAAGCUUGAGGAAGGUGGCUUGAGAUUCGUCUUAAGUGUUUAUAGCCUCUUGCCUAUGCAGUCGGAGAGAUUGAGGUCUGCAGCGUAGAUCCUUCGGGGCUAAAUGCAUUUGUGCUAAGUUAUAGCAUUUUAUAGACAACUUGUUGACUAUGAUUUGUCUUGUAGCUUACUCGCUUAUGUUAUUUUACCUACGCUUAGGAUGUUGAAGAUGUAGCACAUCAU
This 774-nucleotide ribosomal RNA is filed under the name uncultured Neocallimastigales. Its description in RNAcentral is "partial large subunit ribosomal RNA". It matches the Rfam family "Eukaryotic large subunit ribosomal RNA", at positions 22 to 635 of the family's 3401-position model. Lineage: Eukaryota; Fungi; Neocallimastigomycota; Neocallimastigomycetes; Neocallimastigales. The record is from RNAcentral.